Molecule: ribosomal RNA, 569 nt
Filed under: uncultured bacterium
Lineage: Bacteria
Description: bacterial SSU rRNA
Rfam family: Bacterial small subunit ribosomal RNA
Source: RNAcentral
AUUCCUACGGGAGGCAGCAGUGGGGAAUAUUCCGCAAUGGGCGAAAGCCUGACGGAGCAACGCCGCGUGGGUGAAGAAGGCCUUCGGGUUGUAAAUCCCUGUCAUAUGGGAAGAAGAAAGUGACGGUACCAUAUGAGAAAGCCACGGCUAACUACGUGCCAGCAGCCGCGGUAAUACGUAGGUGGCGAGCGUUGUCCGGAAUUACUGGGCGUAAAGGGCGCGUAGGCGGAUGGUUAAGUCAGAUGUGAAAAAUGCAGGCUCAACCUGGAUUGUGCAUCUGAUACUGGUCAUCUUGAGUGCAGGAGAGGGCAGUGGAAUUCCUAGUGUAGCGGUGAAAUGCGUAGAGAUUAGGAGGAACACCAGUGGCGAAGGCGGCUGCCUGGACUGUAACUGACGCUGAGGCGCGAAAGCGUGGGGAGCGAACAGGAUUAGAUACCCUGGUAGUCCACGCCGUAAACGAUGGGUACUAGGUGUAGGGGGUAUCGACCCCUUCUGUGCCGGAGUUAACACAAUAAGUACCCCGCCUGGGGAGUACGACCGCAAGGUUGAAACUCAAAUGAAUUGACAAU